ACCUGAUCCCUCCAGAAUUUAAAAACUCUCAGUGACUAUUUUUAUAUUUCAUGGCAGUAUGUUUAUUUGCAUAAGUUCAAUAAGAACCUGCUUUCCUUAUAAGAGGACCAACUAAAAACACAGGUUAUACCACCAAGGCUUUGACUGGAAUGUCAUACCUGAGAGACACAUGCAUAAAGGUAUGAUCAGCUUUAAGGAACUAAGGUUGACUUUAUAAAGCCAACAAAGCCCCAAUGAAGCCCCUUGGAAGAACUGGCCUGGUACCUUGCUUACGAAGUUCCCAGCAGCCUUACCAGGUGAGUAAGGAAAGUCACUUCCUGGCAGGUGCAGGAAUCUCAGGAUGUCUCAGAGACCUCGAGAAGAGAGGAAUUCAUCCAAAUCUACAGGUACUACAGGCAAAGCCUGAUGGCAAGUCUGGCUUGGCUGUCUGGCCUCAAGAGGCCUUUAAAAGUUCAAUCUGAAAUUCCUUACAGAAAGUUCCAGCAAAGCAUAUUUAAAAGAGCCUGGGUAAUCAAUUGCUCUUCUUGCUGCACUUAUGCAAAUAAUCAAGCCAGCUGUUAAUUAUUUUCUUAACCUGGUUACUUCUAAUAAAAAUGAGAGUGAUUUUAGAGAAAAGUAUUGUUGCAAUAACGCGGCCUUAUCCAUUCAAAAUCCUAAUACUAGUCAUUGAGACAUAAACUAGAUCCAGAAUUCCAGCUUCUUCAAAAUAUCUAGCUAUGAUUUUCCAGAUAUUUUAGUUUUCUCCUAUCAUUGCAAUUAAAGUUUUACUAUUUCUAGUUCUCAUAUUCAACCAUGCAUUCUUAAUCUCAUCAAGUUUGUCCUUCCAGAAUGGAAAAUCCAACUCCAGAUGUUGCUACAUAACCUAAUAACACAAUUUGUUCUAUCUUGCCUAGAAGCCACAAAACUGCAAAUAGUAAUAGAAAUGAAACCCAGAAUAGAAGCGCCAACCUUCUGAGGCCCUCUCAACUGACCAGUGAUGGAGACCUCGCUGCACCCUUUACUGCGCCCCCUUCUCAGCACGAAGCAGCCAGAGCGUUAGCAAGAACACCCACCACCCCUGGACCCUGCCAACUGACCAAAGCCACGACUCAUCACCCUCCAACUACCCCCAGGCCCAGCCAAUCAGCCAGGGCCACGGCCAUCACCCCCUCAAACAGCCCUGGAAACCCAUAAAACCUUUGUUCUGGGGAAAACGCGCUCUCUUUCUCUGGCAUCUUGCCACUGCGUUGGUGUAGAUGAGAGAUUGAGCUCGAGCUAGCUCGAAUAAAGGCUCUUUGCUUUUG
Molecule: long non-coding RNA, 1283 nt
Organism: Manis pentadactyla (Chinese pangolin)
Lineage: Eukaryota; Metazoa; Chordata; Mammalia; Pholidota; Manidae
Exons: 2
Source: RefSeq, a predicted model, not a curated record